GUUUCAGAGGUCGAUUCACAGCUCCUGGUCCAGCCUCUUCACUGACUGCUACUGGGUACACACUCCCAGAGCUCCAGGAGCUUUGCCGUAUCCCUUCAUAAAGUAAUGAAUGUAUGAAUGAUGCAACCCACACCAGAUGACUAACGCCCAGGCACCUACUUACUGCUAAGUGAACAGGGGCACCAGGUGUAAGGAAAGAUGCCUAACGUUUCAACACAUGAAGCGGAACGACCCACGUACUCAGUAGUUGGUGAGGCUAGAGCAGCGCAUGACCUGAUGAUGACCUGAUGAUGACCUGAUGAUGACCUGAUGAUGACCUGAUGAUGACCUGAUGAUGACCUGAUGAUGACCUCGAAGGAGUUUAACGUCUAAUUAAAUAAGAUUUAAGAUUUGUUAGGAUUUUUAACCCAGGAGAGAGUUAGCAACCCAGCGUGACCCAAUAAAGUCAGUGCGUCAUCGAGGACUGUCUUAUUUCCAUUUGGGUCUUGCAAACAUGUCCCCCAGGAUGCCACCCACACCAGCCUGCUAACACCCAGGUACCUACUUAAUGCUGGAUGAAUAGAGAUAGCAGGUGUAACGAGAGAUGCCCAAUGUUUCACCUGUGCCGGGAUCGA
This is a non-coding RNA of Cherax quadricarinatus, 614 nucleotides long. NCBI's taxonomy places the organism in Eukaryota, Metazoa, Arthropoda, Malacostraca, Decapoda, Parastacidae. The record is from RefSeq and is a predicted model, not a curated record.